Molecule: ribosomal RNA, 328 nt
Filed under: uncultured eukaryote
Lineage: Eukaryota
Description: partial 18S ribosomal RNA
Rfam family: Eukaryotic small subunit ribosomal RNA
Source: RNAcentral
CCCUUAGAUGUUCUGGGCCGCACGCGCGCUACACUGUUCGACGCAGCGAGUCUUAACCUUGACCGAAAGGUUUGGGUAAUCUUCAGCAAAGUCGAACGUGAUGGGGAUCGAUCAUUGCAAUUAUUGAUCGUGAACGAGGAAUUCCUAGUAAGUGCAAGUCAACAGCUUGCGUUGAUUACGUCCCUGCCCUUUGUACACACCGCCCGUCGCUACUACUGAUUGGAUGUUUAAGCGAGGUUCUCGAACUGCUAGCGACUUAGCUUCGGUGAGGUCGCAGUGUGGGAAGUGAACCUAGCUUUGGUGUCUAGAGGAAGUAAAAGUCGUAACA